RNAcentral lists this long non-coding RNA (2525 nucleotides) under Homo sapiens (human). RNAcentral's name for it is "non-protein coding lnc-PADI6-3:3". The stretch from base 1583 to 1683 matches the Rfam family "Small nucleolar RNA U13". The record is from RNAcentral. Lineage: Eukaryota; Metazoa; Chordata; Mammalia; Primates; Hominidae.
ACCCGAGCCUGCGCCGCGCGCCGCGCGCCUCGCCGCCCGCCUCGGCUCCGCUGCUCCUGCGCCUUUCGCGGGCCCGCGAGCGCGCUUUGGGCCUUCCACGCAGUGCGGCCUGCGCGUCAGGGACUUCUUUGCGGCUUAGGAGGAUGUUGGAUUGUUUUUCCUGGGCACGUCUAGACAGGUCACAUGAGGACACUCGCUGGAAAAUAGUUACUUCGCUCACGCAGCAGCCAACAAGGGACGUGCCCUAAUUGAGUGAUUGGAAUGAAAGAUGAAUACAAUUUGAAUAAUUUUUUCCUGUGCAGAGAGAAGCUGAGUUUUAUUUGCCUGUGGAUGUGUCCUCAGUAUGUAACAAGGUGCUGUGACACGGAAGAAUCACAUAAAGAGAUGGUGUCUCACUCUGUCUGUCAGGCUGGACUGCAGCCUCAGUCUCCUGGGCUCAAGCAAUUCUCCAGCCUCAACCUCCGGAGUAGGUGGGACUAUAUGCGUGUGCUACCGUGCCCGGCUAAUUUUUUCAUUUUUAGUAAGAGAUGAGGGCUUGCUGUGUUGCCCAGGCUGAUCUUGAACUCCUGAACUUAAGUGAUCCUCCCACCUCGGCCUCCCAAAGUACUGGAAUUACAAGCAUGAGCCACCUUGUCUAUUUUCUUUUUGUUGUUGUUAAUUUGUGUGUGUGUGUGUGUGUGAGAUGGGAGUCUCACUCUGUCGCUGAGGCUGGAGUGCAAUGGCGUGAUCUCAGCUCACCACAACCUCCGCCUCUCGGGUUCAAGCGAUUCUCCUGCCUCAGCCUCCCGAGCAGCAGGGACCACAGGCAUGCGCCACCACGCUAGGCUAAUUUUGUAUUUUUAGUAGAGAUGGGGGUCUCUCCAUGUUGGUCAGGCUGGUCUUGAACUCCCAACCUCAGGUGAUCCGCCCACCUUGGCCUCCCAAAGUGCUUGGAUUACAGGCGUAAGCCACCAUGCCUGGCCCACCUCAUCUAUUUUCAGAGGCUGAGAUUUAUUGCCGCUAACUUCAGGGUUCCACCCAAGCCAUUCCUACACUUAUUCCACUGUCCCCACUGGCCUCUCCUUAAACACCCCCUCCUGUUAGGACUCCUGCUUGCUCCUUAUCUUGCUAUCUCUACAGAGGUCUUGGUUCUGAGGCUGGAAACAGAAGGGCCUCUGGAGUGAAUAACACAUGGUUCUGUGGGCUUUGAGUGUCACGCAGAGGCAUCAUCUUAAAAGACAAUCUCGGCCAGGCGAGGUGGCUCAUACCUGUAAUCCCAGCACUUUGGGAGGCCGAGGUGGGUGGAUAACCUUAGGUCAGGAAUUCGAGACCAGCCUGGCCAACAUGGUGAAACCCCGUCUCUACUAAAAAUACAAAAAUUAGCUGGGUGUGGUGGUGCAUGCCUGUAAUCUCAGCUACUGGGGAGGCUGAGGCAGGAGAGUCGCUUGAACCUGGGAGGUGGAGGUUGCAGUGAGCUGAGAACGCACCACUGCAUUCCAGCCUGGGCGACAGAGUGAGACUCCAUCUCAAAAAUAAUAAAUAAAUAAAUAAAUAAAUAAAUAAAUAAAUAAAUAAAUAAAUAAAAUAAGUGUUUGGAUCAUGAACACUUAUGUGGUUCAUAAAAGUGAUUGAGUUUUCAUGUUCAUGUGUUGAAUGUGCCUCCCUCAAACCUUGUUAAGUCAUCAGCACAUUACCCAUUUGAUGUGAACUUAGAAAAAAAUAAAAGAGGGCCAGAUAACAGUGGCUCACACCUGUAAUCCCAGCACUUUGGGAGGCCAAGGUGGGUGGAUCACUUAAGGUCAGGAGUUUGAGACCAGCCUGGCCAACAUGAUGAAACUCCGUCUCUACUAAAUAAACAAAAAUUAGCUGGGCAUGGUGGUACAUGCCUGUAAUCCCAGCUACUCAGGAGGCUGAGGCAGGAGAAUCACUUGAAUCCAGGAGGUGGAAGUUACAGUGAGCUGAGUUGUCACCGCUGCAAUCCAGCCUGGAUGACAGAGUGAGACUCUGUCUCAACAAAAAAAAAAAAAAAAAGAAAAUGUUUUUAUUUAAAGAAAGACAUUUACUCAGGUGUUGCAUAGCUCUAGCAAAAAUGAGGAAGAUGGUUCCACAAACCACCUUGGCUUGAGGAAUAGGAUUUGAUGCUUCUGGCUCCUCCCAACUCUGAUGUUCUCCAGUCUACGAUGGACCAUGGCGUCUGACUGUCUAGAAAAAUCCAUGAUGAAGGAAAGUUGGGUAGUGUACAAGAAAGCAAGCCUGCUUGAAGGCAUGCAUUGAAUUACACAGGUUGGGUCCCAAUCCACAGAAAGCCUUUUGCCUUUGAAAGUGUUACCAGGCGGAGCACUGGGGCUCACGCCUGUAAUCCCAAUACUUUGGGAGACCAAGGUGGGAGGAUUGCUUGAGUCUGGGAGUUUGAGACCAGCCUGGGCAGCGUAGGGAGAUCCUGUCUCUACAUAAAAUUUAAAAAUUAGCUGGGCAGGCUGGGCGCGGUAGCUCACGCCUGUAAUCCCAGCACUUUGGGAGGCCGAGGUGGGCGGAUCACCUGAGGU